RNAcentral lists this ribosomal RNA (460 nucleotides) under uncultured bacterium. Its description in RNAcentral is "partial 16S ribosomal RNA". It matches the Rfam family "Bacterial small subunit ribosomal RNA", at positions 338 to 795 of the family's 1533-position model. The record is from RNAcentral.
CCUACGGGUGGCAGCAGUGAGGAAUAUUGGUCAAUGGGCGCGAGCCUGAACCAGCCAAGUAGCGUGAAGGAUGACUGCCCUACGGGUUGUAAACUUCUUUUAUAAAAGAAUAAAGUGAGGCACGUGUGCUUUUUUGUAUGUACUUUAUGAAUAAGGAUCGGCUAACUCCGUGCCAGCAGCCGCGGUAAUACGGAGGAUCCGAGCGUUAUCCGGAUUUAUUGGGUUUAAAGGGAGCGUAGAUGGGUUGUUAAGUUAGUUGUGAAAGUUUGGAGCUUAACCGUAAAAUUGCAAUUGAUACUGGCGGUCUAGAGUACAGUUGAGGUAGGCGGAAUGUAUGGUGUAGCGGUGAAAUGCUUAGAGAUCACGCAGAACUCCGAUUGCGAAGGCAGCUUAGUAAACUGCCACUGACAUUGAUGCUCGAAAGUGUGGGUAUCAAACAGGAUUAGAUACCCCUGUAGUC